AAUGAACGCUGGCGGCAUGCCUAACACAUGCAAGUCGAGCGACAACACGAUGAGCUUUCUCCCCUGACGUUAGCGGCGGACGGGUGAGUAACACGUGGAUCACAUACCUCUUUUUCUGGGAUAACUACGUGAAACCACUGCCAAUACCGCAUCAUAUAUUCUACCGCAUGGUUCAGUAGUGAUUGACGCCUUGCCUGUCACAUAUAGCUGAUUCCGGACCGCCUUAGCUAGUUGGUAAGGUAACGGCUUACCAAGGCAACGAUGCGUAGCUGACCUGAGAGGGUGAUCGGCCACACUGGAACUGAGACACGGUCCAGACUCCUACGGGAGGCAGCAGUAGGGAAUCUUCCGCAAUGGGCGAAAGCCUGACCGAGCAACGCCGCGUGGGUGAUGAAGGUCUUCGGAUCGUAAAGCUCUGUUAUUGGGGAAGAAAAGAUGUGUGUGUAACUAUGCACGUCUUGACGGUACCUAAUCAGUAAGCCACGGCUAACUACGUG
This 497-nucleotide ribosomal RNA is filed under the name uncultured bacterium. RNAcentral describes it as "partial 16S ribosomal RNA". It matches the Rfam family "Bacterial small subunit ribosomal RNA", at positions 29 to 507 of the family's 1533-position model. The record is from RNAcentral.